Molecule: ribosomal RNA, 917 nt
Filed under: uncultured beta proteobacterium
Lineage: Bacteria; Pseudomonadati; Pseudomonadota; Betaproteobacteria
Description: bacterial SSU rRNA
Rfam family: Bacterial small subunit ribosomal RNA
Source: RNAcentral
AGAGUUUGAUCCUGGCUCAGAUUGAACGCUGGCGGCAUGCCUUACACAUGCAAGUCGAACGGCAGCGCGGGUGCUUGCACCUGGUGGCGAGUGGCGAACGGGUGAGUAAUGUAUCGGAACGUACCAUUCAGUGGGGGAUAACUAUCCGAAAGGAUAGCUAAUACCGCAUAUUCUGUGAGCAGGAAAGCAGGGGAUCGCAAGACCUUGCGCUGAUUGAGCGGCCGAUAUCAGAUUAGCUAGUUGGUGGGGUAAAAGCCUACCAAGGCGACGAUCUGUAGCGGGUCUGAGAGGAUGAUCCGCCACACUGGAACUGAGACACGGUCCAGACUCCUACGGGAGGCAGCAGUGGGGAAUUUUGGACAAUGGGCGAAAGCCUGAUCCAGCCAUGCCGCGUGAGUGAAGAAGGCCUUCGGGUUGUAAAGCUCUUUCGGCCGGGAAGAAAUCGCAUAGGUUAAUACCCUGUGUGGAUGACGGUACCGGAAUAAGAAGCACCGGCUAACUACGUGCCAGCAGCCGCGGUAAUACGUAGGGUGCGAGCGUUAAUCGGAAUUACUGGGCGUAAAGCGUGCGCAGGCGGUUUUUUAAGACAGGCGUGAAAUCCCCGGGCUUAACCUGGGAACUGCGCUUGUGACUGGAAGGCUAGAGUACGGCAGAGGGGGGUGGAAUUCCACGUGUAGCAGUGGAAAUGCGUAGAGAUGUGGAGGAACACCGAUGGCGAAGGCAGCCCCCUGGGCCGAUACUGACGCUCAUGCACGAAAGCGUGGGGAGCAAACAGGAUUAGAUACCCUGGUAGUCCACGCCCUAAACGAUGUCAACUAGGUGUUGGGUGGGUAAAACCAUUUAGUACCGGAGCUAACGCGUGAAGUUGACCGCCUGGGGAGUACGGCCGCAAGGUUAAAACUCAAAUGAAUUGACGG